Carassius carassius (crucian carp) is the source of this 1003-nucleotide long non-coding RNA. RefSeq lists it as uncharacterized. NCBI's taxonomy places the organism in Eukaryota, Metazoa, Chordata, Actinopteri, Cypriniformes, Cyprinidae. The transcript has 2 exons. The record is from RefSeq and is a predicted model, not a curated record.
GGCAGCCUGAGCGCUACCCGGGUUAUCAAAGCUCACAAAGCCUGGAGAACGAAGGGAAAAAGAUGGAGACAGAGAGAGGACGACAGGUUAGCACCAGAUGGAUGAUAAGGUGACAUAUCUGACAGACUCACCUUCUCUCUGCUGCUGAGGGAUGAUGGGAGGCGGCUGAGGAAAGGCCUGGCUGAUCUGUCCAUAUGCAGCGGGGAAGGCUGCUGAGACACACACACACCACACACACACACGCCCAUGUGUCAGAUAACACACACACGCUUCACACUUCUAAUUCCAGCACACAUACACAGCGCAUGUACAUUUCAUUAACUGGGAAGCAGGAAAAUCACAAACGCCUCCAUUGAGUGACAGACCUGCAUACUGUUGGACUCCAGCGUAGGCCUGCUGUAGGGGGUCUGCUGCGGUGGGACUCUGAGCUGCCAAAGGAAAGAGAUGAGAGCGUUACAGACACAGUCGGGGUCAGUGAGUGCACCUGAGUGUGUUCGGGGAGAGCUGUGCACCGAGAAUGAUCUUACCUCACUUCCCUCCCCCUCACCGUUCAACCCCAAACAAUUAAGCCGAGGCGUUCGCACGGGGCCCUGCCAAGUUUCCCCGCUGGCCAAGUGUUGGAAAGACAGCCAGAGAGUGUACAGAGAACAAUAUAGAUCUAUAGCUCUACACUGCACAUCAAUCAGCUGAGAGCUUUCACAGUAAUAAAGGCAACUCAGGCCCGGCCGGCAACGCUACUGUUCUAAACACUGAUACACAUACUCGCAGCCUGAUAACUUAACGCUGCUAAAACACUAACGCGGUAAACACUGAAGCAUCCCCGCUCAGUAUUGUGUGCUUGGGGCUCAUUUGAUGGACUUGUGAGUAAUAUUACACUUAAAAGCAGGGAGAAUUCAGCCGAAAAUGAACAUCCUGUCAUCAUUUACUCACUCUCAUGUCGUUCCAAAUCUGUAUGAACAUAAAAGAUGAUGAAGAUGGCCUAAAUUACACUGGCACUCUGGAA